AUGGGACAAGAACGCAAACAAAUCCGACAACUAGGUGAUACAAAAGGGACAACAAAACAUCCGGAUAGACGAUACAAAGAAACAAGGACGGUCAUUCGAAGUUUUCUAUCUUCGUCAAGAACGAAAUUAUCCUCGCAAUUCGGCUGAUUAUAUAUAUAUAUAUGUGUUAAAAAUAGAUAGAUAAAU
This is a long non-coding RNA of Octopus sinensis (East Asian common octopus), 186 nucleotides long. RefSeq lists it as uncharacterized. The transcript has 4 exons. The record is from RefSeq and is a predicted model, not a curated record. Lineage: Eukaryota; Metazoa; Mollusca; Cephalopoda; Octopoda; Octopodidae.